GUGGCAGUAGUUCAGUGGUAGGGCUCUCGCUUCAUACGUGGGAAGACCUGGGUUGGAUUCUCGGCUGCUUUU
This 72-nucleotide transfer RNA is filed under the name Toxocara canis (dog roundworm). It matches the Rfam family "tRNA". From Rfam's summary of the family: Transfer RNA (tRNA) molecules are approximately 80 nucleotides in length. Their secondary structure includes four short double-helical elements and three loops (D, anti-codon, and T loops). Lineage: Eukaryota; Metazoa; Nematoda; Chromadorea; Rhabditida; Toxocaridae. The record is from Rfam by way of RNAcentral.